GCAUCGAUGNAAAAGACGCAGCGAAAUGCGAUAAGUAAUGUGAAUUGCAGAAUUUCAGUGAAUCAUCGAAUCUUUGAACGCAUCAUUGGCGCCCUCUGGGUAUUUCCGGAAGGGCAUGGCCUGGUUCGAGCGUCAUU
Molecule: ribosomal RNA, 137 nt
Filed under: Diaporthe lusitanicae
Lineage: Eukaryota; Fungi; Ascomycota; Sordariomycetes; Diaporthales; Diaporthaceae
Description: partial 5.8S ribosomal RNA
Rfam family: 5.8S ribosomal RNA
About the family: 5.8S ribosomal RNA (5.8S rRNA) is a component of the large subunit of the eukaryotic ribosome. It is transcribed by RNA polymerase I as part of the 45S precursor that also contains 18S and 28S rRNA.
Source: RNAcentral